AUGGCUCAGGGGUUAAGAGCACUGA
RNAcentral lists this non-coding RNA (25 nucleotides) under Cricetulus griseus (Chinese hamster). The record is from RNAcentral. Lineage: Eukaryota; Metazoa; Chordata; Mammalia; Rodentia; Cricetidae.